AUACUUACCUGGCAGGGGAGAUACUAUGAUCACAAAGGUGGUUGUCCCAGGGCAAGGCUUAUUUAUCCAUUGCACCCCGGAUGUGCUGACCCCUGUGAUUUCCCUAAGUACUAGAAACUCAACUACAUAAUUUGUGGUAGUGGGGGACUGUGUUUGUACACUCCCCUU
Molecule: small nuclear RNA, 168 nt
Organism: Mastomys coucha (southern multimammate mouse)
Lineage: Eukaryota; Metazoa; Chordata; Mammalia; Rodentia; Muridae
Product: U1 spliceosomal RNA
Exons: 1
Source: RefSeq, a predicted model, not a curated record